RNAcentral lists this transfer RNA (71 nucleotides) under Encephalitozoon hellem. RNAcentral's name for it is "tRNA-Ala". It matches the Rfam family "tRNA". Rfam says of the family: Transfer RNA (tRNA) molecules are approximately 80 nucleotides in length. RNAcentral also lists the same sequence under 1 other name. Lineage: Eukaryota; Fungi; Microsporidia; Unikaryonidae. The record is from RNAcentral.
GGGGGAUUAUCUUAGUGGUAGAGUGUUUGCUUCGCAUGUGAAUUGCCCGGGUUCGAUUCCCGGAUCCUCCA